AAAAGAAAAAGACUACUAAAAAGGCACCGAAAAAGAAGACAAAGGAAGAAAGCAAAGAGUAAACUACUCUAUUUUUUUCGCAAUUUACCCAUUUUUAAAUCCCCUGGAUUUACCCUUUUGUUUUG
This 125-nucleotide non-coding RNA is filed under the name Entomoneis paludosa. Lineage: Eukaryota; Bacillariophyta; Bacillariophyceae; Surirellales; Surirellaceae. The record is from RNAcentral.